GGUAACGGCCCACCAAGCCUACGAUCAGUAGGGGUUCUGAGAGGAAGGUCCCCCACAUUGGAACUGAGACACGGUCCAAACUCCUACGGGAGGCAGCAGUGAGGAAUAUUGGUCAAUGGACGGAAGUCUGAACCAGCCAAGUAGCGUGCAGGAUGACGGCCCUAUGGGUUGUAAACUGCUUUUGUAUGGGAAUAAAGUGAGGGACGUGUCCCUUUUUGUAUGUACCAUAAGAAUAAGGACCGGCUAAUUCCGUGCCAGCAGCCGCGGUAAUACGGAAGGUCCGGGCGUUAUCCGGAUUUAUUGGGUUUAAAGGGAGCGCAGGCUGGAGAUUAAGCGUGACGUGAAAUGCCGCGGCUCAACCGUGGAAGUGCGUCGCGAACUGGUUUCCUUGAGUGUAUUCGACGUCAGCGGAAUUCGUGGUGUAGCGGUGAAAUGCUUAGAUAUCACGAAGAACUCCGAUUGCGAAGGCAGCUGGCGAGGCUAUAACUGACGCUAAAGCUCGAAGGUGCGGGUAUCGAACAGGAUUAGAUACCCUGGUAGUCCGCACGGUAAACGAUGGAUGCCCGCUGUAUGCGAUAUACUGUAUGCGGCCAAGCGAAAGCGUUAAGCAUCCCACCUGGGGAGUACGCCGGCAACGGUGAAACUCAAAGGAAUUGACGGGGGCCCGCACAAGCGGAGGAACAUGUGGUUUAAUUCGAUGAUACGCGAGGAACCUUACCCGGGCUUGAACUGCAGGAGAACGAUUCAGAGAUGAUGAGGCCCUUCGGGGCUCCUGUGGAGGUGCUGCAUGGUUGUCGUCAGCUCGUGCCGUGAGGUGUCGGCUUAAGUGCCAUAACGAGCGCAACCCCUGCGACUAGUUGCCAUCAGGUAAUGCUGGGCACUCUGGUUGGACUGCCACCGUAAGGUGUGAGGAAGGUGGGGAUGACGUCAAAUCAGCACGGCCCUUACGUCCGGGGCUACACACGUGUUACAAUGGGAGGUACAGAGAGUUGGUCUUGCGCAAGCCGGAUCUAAUCCUAAAAGCCUUCCUCAGUUCGGAUUGGGGUCUGCAACCCGACCCCAUGAAGCUGGAUUCGCUAGUAAUCGCGCAUCAGCCAUGGCGCGGUGAAUACGUUCCCGGGCCUUGUACACACCGC
RNAcentral lists this ribosomal RNA (1136 nucleotides) under uncultured rumen bacterium. Its description in RNAcentral is "bacterial SSU rRNA". It matches the Rfam family "Bacterial small subunit ribosomal RNA", at positions 256 to 1393 of the family's 1533-position model. The record is from RNAcentral.